UACGUAGGGUGCGAGCGUUAAUCGGAAUUACUGGGCGUAAAGCGUGCGUAGGUGGUUUGUUAAGUCUGUUGUGAAAGCCCCGGGCUCAACCUGGGAAUGGCAAUGGAUACUGGCAGGCUAGAGUGCGGUAGAGGGUAGUGGAAUUCCCGGUGUAGCGGUGAAAUGCGUAGAGAUCGGGAGGAACACCAGUGGCGAAGGCGGCUCUCUGGACAGGUACUGACGCUGAGACGCGAAAGCGUGGGUAGCAAACAGG
RNAcentral lists this ribosomal RNA (253 nucleotides) under uncultured bacterium. RNAcentral's name for it is "partial 16S ribosomal RNA". It matches the Rfam family "Bacterial small subunit ribosomal RNA", at positions 524 to 776 of the family's 1533-position model. The record is from RNAcentral.